CACAAAUCUCAUUUGAUCUACAGGGCAACCUUGGAAUACAGCUUAUUAUUCUCCCCAUUCUGCAGUGACAGAAAUGGAGGUUUAAGUGCUUGCCAAUGACCAAUGGCAUGGGCAGGAUUGGAGCCUUGCUCCCCCCAGGACUCUCUAAAUCCAGUGCUAUUUCAGCUCUCCUGCUCCCAUCCAGUGCCAUUCUCUCAUUACUGUUAGAGUCUCGGUUUUCUUCCUGGUAAUGUUUAUGCUUUGUGCCUUCCUUGAUCCCAAAAGAAAUGAGAAGGAUGCUUACUCCAGCAGCUUCCUAAGUCAUGGGCACAGUCAUCCUUUAUUAAGGGCAGGGCUUGCCAAAGCAAACAAGGCAGGCAAGGACUUGACUAUAACAAGCAGGGGUCAUCCAGAGGAGUGGGAGGAGAAGAGCCAUCUCAUGUAAGGUGGCCUCUGAUAGGCAGUCUUUGGGCUGGAUGCUUUGGUGGGGCACCUUCCCUUCUGAAAUUCUUGAGAAAUGGCUUUAUUCACAUUAAAGUCACCGUCCAUUGCCCAUGGAGCCCCAAAGGAAGGAAAGUAAUCCUGAAGCAAACAGCAAAGACAGGAACAAUAUUUGGUGGGAUUUCUCUUUCUCUCCUAUCCUUAUUCCUUCCCAACUAUAGGCAGACUUCCUACUAUUCAUGGGGAGGGCUGGCUGACAGGUUGGCUGCCUUUGGGGGCACUCCUCCCAGGAUAUUCUGCUUUGGUAUGGAGUCCCACACACGGAGGAGAAAGGAAAAUUUUACUGUUCGCAGGGUGGUUGACAAGUGAAGUGAAGAAACACCAACGCAAAAUAGCAUUAGUGAGUUCCUGGAGCAGUUAUUUUAAAAGACCGUUGAGUUUGGGUACAUUGGAGAUAUCUGCAAUUUUAAAGAAGUCAGGCAUUUGAAGAGAAAGAAUAAGUGGUAUGUACCAUCUUUGGGGUGGGCCUUGCAAGCAGGGUGAGUUCUGGGAACAGGAAAAGUGGGCCAGAAUCUAGGAAAAGGGAAAACCUGAAGGGUUAUAGGAAGUGAGACAUGAGUUGGCAUCACUUUGCUUAGUGCUGGGAGAAAGAUCAUUUACAUGAUCUUAUAAGAUAACUGCUCUCUGCCUAAAUCCAUAGGGCUUUAUUUCCCUUGGGAGUUUUCUCCUUUUCUUCUCCCAUGGUACUUCCCAGAGGGUCCCAUAAGACUCAAUGCAGGCUUCCAAGUUGACUUUUGAUUCUAGAGAAUCACUGGCU
Molecule: long non-coding RNA, 1237 nt
Filed under: Monodelphis domestica (gray short-tailed opossum)
Lineage: Eukaryota; Metazoa; Chordata; Mammalia; Didelphimorphia; Didelphidae
Description: lncRNA (ENSMODG00000042827.1)
Source: RNAcentral